RNAcentral lists this ribosomal RNA (253 nucleotides) under uncultured bacterium. Its description in RNAcentral is "partial 16S ribosomal RNA". It matches the Rfam family "Bacterial small subunit ribosomal RNA", at positions 524 to 776 of the family's 1533-position model. The record is from RNAcentral.
UACGGAGGGAGCUAGCGUUGUUCGGAAUUACUGGGCGUAAAGCGCGCGUAGGCGGUUAUCCAAGUCAGGGGUGAAAUCCCGGAGCUCAACUCCGGAACUGCCCUUGAAACUAGGUAACUAGAAUACUGGAGAGGUGAGUGGAAUUCCGAGUGUAGAGGUGAAAUUCGUAGAUAUUCGGAAGAACACCAGUGGCGAAGGCGACUCACUGGACAGUUAUUGACGCUGAGGUGCGAAAGCGUGGGGAGCAAACAGG